RNAcentral lists this ribosomal RNA (779 nucleotides) under uncultured Neocallimastigales. RNAcentral's name for it is "partial large subunit ribosomal RNA". It matches the Rfam family "Eukaryotic large subunit ribosomal RNA", at positions 23 to 628 of the family's 3401-position model. The record is from RNAcentral. Lineage: Eukaryota; Fungi; Neocallimastigomycota; Neocallimastigomycetes; Neocallimastigales.
AGAGAUGUGUGAUGACGCAUAUCAAUAAGCGGAGGAAAAGAAACUAACUAAGGAUUCCCUCAGUAACGGCGAGUGAAGCGAGAAGAGCUCAAAUUUGAAAUCUUCAAGGGUUCUACCUUUACGAAUUGUAGUUUAAAGAAGUGUUUUCAUGUUGGAGUUUCGGUAAAAGUUCUUUGGAAUAGGACAUCAUAGAGGGUGAGAAUCCCGUAUUUGACCAGUUAUUUCCAACUUUGUGAUACACUUUCAAAGAGUCGGAUUGUUUGGGAAUGCAGUCCAAAAUGGGUGGUAAAUUUCAUCUAAAGCUAAAUACUGGCGAGAGACCGAUAGCGAACAAGUACCGUGAGGGAAAGAUGAAAAGAACUUUGAAAAGAGAGUUAAACAGUACGUGAAAUUGUCAAAAGGGAAGCGUUUGACACCAGUGUUGUUUUCUCGAAAAUCAAUUAAAAAUGGCGGGAUGUUGUGUUGUAUUGACUUUAUCAGCUUUCUGCACUCUUUUUCCUGUCUUUUUUAAUGCACUUUUCGUUUAACAAGUCAACAUCAAUUUCUUUUGCUGUAAAAGGGUCAUUGGAAGGUGGCUUUCUUUUCGGAGAAAGUGUUUAUAGCCUUUGGCCUCUGCAGUCGGAGAGAUUGAGGUCUGCAGCGUAGAUCCUUCGGGGUUAGAUACAUUUGUGCUAAGUUAUAGCCUUUCAUAGACAACUUGUUGACUAUGAUCAGUCAUGUAGCCUACUCGCCUAUGCUAUUUUACCUACGCUUAGGAUGUUGAACUCUAUCACACACAG